AAGCGAUUGAGUAUAGGGGAAGUAGUUUAGAAUCUGCAACCUUGCGGGAGCUGGAGUAGAAAACAACUAGUUUUCUUAAUUGGUGACCUGUUGUGAAAGAUGCCUUUUUUUUCAAAAGGUUUUCCUUUUUACCUUUUGCAAGCCAAUGAUCGUGUUCAACCAGAUCACAUUGCUCAAACUCCAAGCCAACCCUAUCCUUUUCCUCAUCAAGUUUCUAUUUAGGCUAAGAUGAAAAAGAGCUCAUUGACAAGAACCACCAUUAAUCCUUGAGCAGCUCCGCAAAAAGUGCCCAUUGGCAGCUGCUCAUUUUGUGCCCAGGUGACAAUCUAGUGGUUUGGUUUUGUCCUUUGCGGAAGAAGCCUGAUGCUGCUAUCAAGAAUGCAGUAAAUAGUGCAAUGAAAUCAGUAAGCAAAAAUGCAGAGGGAAAGCCACCCUAACAUGGGCCUCAGUGGAUUGAAGUAAAGAGUCAUGUUCAAACAGGAAACUACGAGUGUGGAUACUAUGUUAUGCACUGGAUAUGGUGCAUCGUAAGUGUCGGAUUGAAGGAUGAAUGGAUUAGCUGAUUUUCUGAUGGAACAGCGGUAACAAAAGAGACCAUGACCACACUCCAUCAUAAAUGGGCGACAUAUUUUCUCCAAAUGAAGAAAUCAGAACUUAGAAAAAUUUAGAAAACUUAGGAACAUUUUUCGUUAAAGGAAGACAUUUUUUUAAACUGAUUUUGACAUCUUCCUUUUUCAUAUGUAUUUUAUGAUUAAAGUUCAAUUCAGAUGAUGGAACUGAUUUUCAAUCCAGCCCUUCGUUGUGGGCGUGUUCCUUGAACAAUACAUUGUUUCAGUGUUUAUUUUAUUUCUAUAUCCAAAUUCAUUUUUAACCUACUCAGUGGCUCUAUGUAACCUGCAUUUCAAUUCACUCCACGAACAACUAACCAAUGGGUAUACAAAUGUUCCUGUAGUCUACUUGUGCUUUUUACAGAUACAAUGCAUAUGGUCACUGCAGUGAAGGAGAAGACACUCAUUCUGGAAUGUCCAAUAAGGUAUGUCAUGUUUCAAGUAUUGAACAACAUUGACAUUAUCAACUCAAACUUCAGGUAACCAAGUGCAGAAAUUUUGGAAUUGCAACCACAUCUCUGUUAUUUGUUCAACUGUUUGACAUGUAGGAAGCUAAUGCUAAGUUUAUGGAAGCAAUGUAUAUGACUAAAUACAGGAAGGCAAAGAAAGGAAUUCAAUUCCUCAUCAAUGGUAGCAAAGUGGGUAAUUCACCAGAGGAAAUAACUAAUUUCCUUAAAGAUGCAUCUGGGUUGAACAAGACUGACAUAAACUGAGUUGUGAGUCACAUAAACUUCAGGAUAGAUGGAAGCAGUUUAUGUGGACCAAUACCAGUUUUAUUGGGAACUGGACCAAUCUUAUGACAUUGUGAGUAUACAUUUAGAACCAUGCAUUACUUCUAACUUAUAAGUGCAGGUUGAGGGAAGAUUCUUUGCUCUCUGUCACCUUUCCCUCCAAUGUUGAAUGAAGCUAUUGAAGUUAUGAAGAGGGCUGCACCUCUGGUGAUCUUUUAAUUAAAAUAUUUGGUAUUUGAAGUAAUUCUUUAUUUUGUUAUUUUGUUUUUUGACCAGCAUAUUUUUUACUCUGUGUUGAAUUGGGAUUCGUUUUAAAAGAUAUUGGAGGAGGUUUCACUUCUUAAUGAUGCGGUUUCUCAAAUUGAUGAGCCAUUCUUACUGGUUAUAGUGGGGGAAUUCAACUCUGGUAAAUCUACUGUGAUUAAUGCGCUUCUUGGAGAAAGAUAUCUCAAAGAGAUCACAUUUUUACGAUAUACUGACUUAGAUAUUGAACAACAACAUUGUGAAAGGCAUCCAGAUGGUCAAUAUAUUUGCUACAUUCCUGCUCCAAUUCUUAAGGAGGUAAGUCAAUUCCUUAUGGUUCCUUCCUGUCCUUUAUGUGUAUCAAGAUUCAAGACUCAGUUUUAUAUGUUAUCCCCUCUAACUACCAUUUUCUAUUCGUAAUUAGAAUGCUCUCAGCAGUUUUUUUGUUCUUCUGAAAACAAAUGACCAUUGUUGAUACACCUGGAACUAAUGUGAUUCUUUAGAGGCAGCAACGUCUUACAGAGGAAUUUGUACCCCGCGCAGAUUUACUUCUUUUUGUCAUUUUUGUUGAUCGCCCUUUAACUGGAAGUGAGAUUGCUUUUCUUCGUUAUUCUCAACAGUGGAAAAAGAAAGCAGUUUUUGUCUUGAAUAAAGCUGACAUAUAUCAGAAUAAUCAUGAGGUCAGUCUAUUAUGCAGCAACUGAUGUUGUAAUCCUCUGAUUCAUGAUUGAGGUGUGCUGCGCACCAAUGUUAGCUGCCUUCAAUGUUCCUCUUGCUCAAAGUGAUGAUGAAAUUGUAAUAGCAUUGUGUCCAAAAAGGCUUCCCUUAUGCUAUUCAUGUUACUUCUGUAAUGUCCAUGAAGACUCACAGCUAGAGAUGCCUUUGUGACUUCAUUAGCAAAGUUUACCUCCCUGCAUUCUCUUGCUGACAUUAAGUAGAAAAACAUAGAUGCAAUAGAGGUAAAGACAUUAACUUGUACCUACAACCUCCAACUAUAGGUAAAAGUUAUUAACUUAUGCCUUUUGGGAACUCUAUCAGAGCAGUUGGAGGAAAAACUGAAGGAGAAGGAAUCAUUCAUUCUGAAAUCGUGAUUAUUUCUGUUCACCUGGAGAAGGAGACUUGCAGAUCACUAUUUCUUCCCGACGUUUUUUGCUUUUUUGAUACAAAUAUUGGAGUUUUUAGAGACUCGCUGUGCGUUUGGCAAGAUAGCAACACCCAUCUUGGCUUGUGGCAGAUGAGGAAGUUUGGAGAUGACAAGUCUUGGAUUCAAUUAAUAAAUUUUAGUUAUUUACAUCUUAAUAUUCGUCCUUAUGAAGAAAAAUCCAUGAUUUUACCAUUGUGCAUGUCUAACAAUGGAGACUUCUUCAUGCUGAAAUUCACUAGAAAUGCUGAUGAUGAAUACCAAACAAUUCUGUAUAACCAGAGGGAUGGUAAGUCUCAAGUUUUUGUCGUUCCCUCAGGUAGUUUCAGAACUUUGUUGUGGCGCAACCUCAAGAUUUUUACCAAAAGUUUGGUCAUACCUUAUUGAAAUUCUACAGAUAUACGAGGACAGAACAAGAAUGGUACAUUAAACUGUAGUAUUUAUGUCAUUAGUUCUUUAAAUUAGUAUAUCAUCAUUGAGAAAUACAUACUGAUGUGUUGUUGUAACUGUGACAAUUAUAUCAGCACUAUGGCUAAUAUGUUUCAGGCAUAAUUGACUUUA
Glycine soja is the source of this 3284-nucleotide long non-coding RNA. RefSeq lists it as uncharacterized. NCBI's taxonomy places the organism in Eukaryota, Viridiplantae, Streptophyta, Magnoliopsida, Fabales, Fabaceae. The record is from RefSeq and is a predicted model, not a curated record. The transcript is spliced from 11 exons.